CCUACGGGAGACAGCAGUGAGGAAUAUUGGUCAAUGGACGAGAGUCUGAACCAGCCACGUAGCGUGAAGGAUGACUGCCCUAUGGGUUGUAAACUUCUUUUAUAUGGGAAUAAAAUGUUCCACGUGUGUGAUUUUGUAUGUACCAUAUGAAUAAGGAUCGGCUAACGCCGGGCCAGCAGCCGCGGUAAUAUGGAGGAUCCGAGCGUUAUCCGGAUUUGUUGGGUUUAACGGGAGCGUAGGUGGAUUGUUAAGUCAGUUGUGAAAGUUUGCGGCUCAACCGUAGAAUUGCAGUUGAAACUGGCAGUCUUGAGUACAGUAGAGGAGGGCGGAAUUCGAGGUGUAGCGGUGAAAUGCUUAGAUAUCACGAAGAACUCCGAUUGCGAAGGCAGUUCACUGGACUGCAACUGACACUGAGGCUCGAAAGUGUGGGUAGCAAACAGGAUUAGAUACCCCUGUAGUC
This 460-nucleotide ribosomal RNA is filed under the name uncultured bacterium. RNAcentral describes it as "partial 16S ribosomal RNA". It matches the Rfam family "Bacterial small subunit ribosomal RNA", at positions 338 to 795 of the family's 1533-position model. The record is from RNAcentral.